UCGAUAGAGGCGCGAAAAAUAUUAGUAACGCUGGCUUUUGUACUCAUUUACUUUGGGCUGCGCAAAAGGAUUUUUCGCCGAAAUAAAAUAUACAAUGAGGUAUAUUUUGUUGGGCAUACGGAGAAUAUCCGUGUGACUGUCACAUGUUUUUAUGUGGAGGGCUGUCGG
RNAcentral lists this non-coding RNA (168 nucleotides) under human gut metagenome. RNAcentral's name for it is "Lysine riboswitch". It matches the Rfam family "Lysine riboswitch aptamer". From Rfam's summary of the family: Riboswitches are metabolite binding domains within certain messenger RNAs that serve as precision sensors for their corresponding targets. The record is from RNAcentral.